UGUGACAUACCUAAAACGUUGCUUCGGCGGGAACAGACGGCCCUGUAACAACGGGCCGCCCCCGCCAGAGGACCCCUAACUCUGUUUUUAUAAUGUUUUUCUGAGUAAACAAGCAAAUAAAUUAAAACUUUCAACAACGGAUCUCUUGGCUCUGGCAUCGAUGAAGAACGCAGCGAAAUGCGAUAAGUAAUGUGAAUUGCAGAAUUCAGUGAAUCAUCGAAUCUUUGAACGCACAUUGCGCCCGCCAGUAUUCUGGCGGGCAUGCCUGUUCGAGCGUCAUUACAACCCUCAGGCCCCCGGGCCUGGCGUUGGGGAUCGGCGGAAGCCCCCUGUGGGCACACGCCGUCCCUCAAAUACAGUGGCGGUCCCGCCGCAGCUUCCAUUGCGUAGUAGCUAACACCUCGCAACUGGAGAGCGGCGCGGCCAUGCCGUAAAACACCCAACUUCUGAAUGUUGACCUCGAAUCAGGUAGGAAUACCCGCUGAACUUAAGCAUAU
This 497-nucleotide ribosomal RNA is filed under the name Fusarium sp. HN-03. RNAcentral's name for it is "eukaryotic LSU rRNA". The stretch from base 126 to 279 matches the Rfam family "5.8S ribosomal RNA". Lineage: Eukaryota; Fungi; Ascomycota; Sordariomycetes; Hypocreales; Nectriaceae. The record is from RNAcentral.